GAUGAACGCUGGCGGCGUGCCUAAUACAUGCAAGUCGAGCGAACAGACGAGGAGCUUGCUCCUUUGACGUUAGCGGCGGACGGGUGAGUAACACGUGGUUAACCUACCUAUAAGACUGGGAUAACUUCGGGAAACCGGAGCUAAUACCGGAUAAUAUUUCGAACCGCAUGGUUCGAUAGUGAAAGAUGGCUUUGCUAUCACUUAUAGAUGGACCUGCGCCGUAUUAGCUAGUUGGUAAGGUAACGGCUUACCAAGGCAACGAUACGUAGCCGACCUGAGAGGGUGAUCGGCCACACUGGAACUGAGACACGGUCCAGACUCCUACGGGAGGCAGCAGUAGGGAAUCUUCCGCAAUGGGCGAAAGCCUGACGGAGCAACGCCGCGUGAGUGAUGAAGGUCUUCGGAUCGUAAAACUCUGUUAUUAGGGAAGAACAAACGUGUAAGUAACUGUGCACGUCUUGACGGUACCUAAUCAGAAAGCCACGGCUAACUACGUG
This 497-nucleotide ribosomal RNA is filed under the name uncultured bacterium. RNAcentral's name for it is "partial 16S ribosomal RNA". It matches the Rfam family "Bacterial small subunit ribosomal RNA", at positions 28 to 507 of the family's 1533-position model. The record is from RNAcentral.